CGCGUAUGCAAUCUACCUCUAACAGGGGGAAAGUCACUGGAAACGGUGAAUAAUCCCGCAUAAGGAUCUUAAGUAGCAUUACUAAAGAUUUAAAGUUCAAGCGGUUAGAGAUGAGCGUGCGUUCUAUUAGCUAGAUGGUGAGGUAACGGCUUACCAUGGCAACGAUAGAUAGGGGGCGUGAGAGCGUGAUCCCCCACACGGGUACUGAGACACGGACCCGACUCCUACGGGAGGCAGCAGUAAGGAAUAUUGGUCAAUGGAGGAAACUCUGAACCAGCCAUGCCGCGUGCGGGAAGAAGG
This 300-nucleotide ribosomal RNA is filed under the name uncultured bacterium. RNAcentral describes it as "bacterial SSU rRNA". It matches the Rfam family "Bacterial small subunit ribosomal RNA", at positions 114 to 414 of the family's 1533-position model. The record is from RNAcentral.